This 72-nucleotide transfer RNA is filed under the name Prasinoderma coloniale. RNAcentral describes it as "tRNA-Gln". It matches the Rfam family "tRNA". Rfam says of the family: Transfer RNA (tRNA) molecules are approximately 80 nucleotides in length. Their secondary structure includes four short double-helical elements and three loops (D, anti-codon, and T loops). Further hydrogen bonds mediate the characteristic L-shaped molecular structure. tRNAs have two regions of fundamental functional importance: the anti-codon, which is responsible for specific mRNA codon recognition, and the 3' end, to which the tRNAs corresponding amino acid is attached (by aminoacyl-tRNA synthetases). tRNAs cope with the degeneracy of the genetic code in two manners: having more than one tRNA (with a specific anti-codon) for a particular amino acid; and 'wobble' base-pairing, i.e. permitting non-standard base-pairing at the 3rd anti-codon position. Lineage: Eukaryota; Viridiplantae; Prasinodermophyta; Prasinodermophyceae; Prasinodermales; Prasinodermaceae. The record is from RNAcentral.
UGGAGUAUAGCCAAGUGGUAAGGCAUCGGUUUUUGGUACCGACAUGCGAAGGUUCGAUCCCUUCUACUCCAG